GAUGAUGAUCAGAUCACAUUUUAUGACCAAUUUGUGCAGAAAUCCAUAUCAUUCCAAAGGGUUCACAUACUUUUUUCUUGCAGCUGUAUAGUAUAUUGUUUAUGUGCCUAUGUAGAGUGCAGCUCCUUUGUUAAUCAUUCCUUAUAAUCACUCGAUAAUCACAAAAUAUAUUAUAGCAUCAUCCUAAGCAACAUAACUGCUAUAGCUAAGUGUAGUAGUCUUGGUGCAAAAAGGGUGCAGUCUUUGUAAAACCAUUUGGGAGGAUGUUGAAAAACCUUGGUAUCUCCCUGCCACCCAUUAAAUGGCCACCUCUUCAACUACCUUGACAAUGUGGAAACUACACUGAUCAGCUGAGACAGGUGGAAAGUGUCAUAGCAAGUAAAACCAGCGUCUUAUGGGAGGCAGUGUGUUUGGAAGAGAAGUGGGUGAGAGUGUAAUAGGGAUCUCAAGGAAUAAUGAGCUGCAAACUCUGCAUCCAAAGUUGUGUCUGUGUAUGUAUGUAUUGGGGAAAAAAAUAUUUUCAACCCCAGAAUGUCAGUCUGAUCUCCCACACAUAUUUUAAAAAUGUCUAGAAUUUAUGUACUUAAAAACCUUUUUUGGGGUUGGUCUUGAUCUCUUUGUCUUUCACUUUCUCAUGUUCUAGUUUAGCCCACUUAAUCACAUUUUUACAGGCACUAAUGGCUUCCUUGUAUCUUAUAUAAGAUUCCACUGAUUUGUCUGAUUUAAAUGCUUUAAAUUCCCUUUUUCUUAUUUUUAAUUUCUUGGCUUGCCUUCCCAGUAAGCCAUAUUUAUUUGUGAGGACCUGACCCAUUCAAGGCAAAGUUAAUUUAUAUAAUUUUGUUGCAGAAUAAGAAUUAAAUUAGAAUCCAGGGUAGAUAGUUCUGAUAGUUGGAAUAACAUGUGUAUCACUUGUAUCGGGUACAAUAGUUUUGGAAAAUACAUUAGUUUUAGGUGGCCACUUACCCCAACAGAGAUAUAUGCAAGGCCAACCAACAGAACAGAUCCAAAAGGUGCAUCCAAGAGGAUACAUUUUGUAAUGAUAAAGUUAUCUAUGGAUUUAGUUAAGUACAUAUGUACUUACCUAAAUGCAAUUUUUGACCCAUUGAAAGAUGUAUGUAGGAAGUAAAAGGGGCAUUCUGAAAGGACCUUAGUAAAGGGCUUUCAACUUGUUAAAAUUGAUAAAAUAAACAAAUUUAUGUAAAAUUUUGAAAAACCUAUAGGAGAGAUGUUAUACACGUUUCCUGUUUUAGUAUUUUUGUUGCUUUUGCUGUUGGUUUUGUUUAUUUUAAUUUUUUUCUACAGUUUUCUUUUGUCUGUACUAACUUAUGUGUCUCUUUAUUUGUGUAUUUACCAUCUUUUCUCUUUCUUUAUCUUUGUCUUUUCUUAAUUUUGUACAUUUGGUUUCUGAAUGAAACAAACAGCCCUUCGUCCCCAUCCACUUGUUCCCUACACAUUAUCAAUGUAAUUUUUUGCAUUUCGUCCUCUAUUUUCUGCUUUCUUCAUAGUGCCCAUCCCUCACCUCUCUCUGUGUUAGGUACUUGUGGUGAGUUGGAGAUUAAGGUGACAGUGGAGGCAUGGAAUUGUGUCUAAACAGUAGGUGUCAACUGAUCACAAAAAGGUUGAAAAAUGCAUCUCUAUGAGAAAAGUUCAGUGUCUCCUUGAAGAGAGUGGAUACACUGAAUGUUCGUGCUGCACUGUCACAGGAAGCACCUCUAGUAGCCAUUUCAGGAGUGGCCACUGGAUGUGUCUCUAGGCUGUAAUGUAAACACUGCCUUUUCUCUGAAAAAAACAGUGUAUACUGCAAAAAGCCUACAGGGACUGACAAUACUCACCAGAACAAUUACAAUAAGCUGUAGUUGUUCUGAUGACUAUCGUCCCUUUAACUCCUUGACGACCAAUGACGGUUCAGGACUGUCAACAGAAACAUCCCCUUGAGGACUGAUGAUGGUCCUGAACCGUCAUAAUUACUUACCCGAUCGCUGUCGUUCCUGCGCUGGUGAUCGGCGUUGCUCCGGGUCUGGCAGCCCAGACAGUCCCCCCUCGGCAAAUUAGACCCCCACAGGCCAUGUGAUCGCUCUAACAGAUUUGUGUUCAUCAAAGUCUCCCAAGUAUAACAGUACCCCCCAUGUACAGGUUUUUAUAGUGUUUUUGACAGUUGCAGGGUCAAAUGUAAGGCUUGAUUUUCCGUUUUUUCAAUUUGCCAGAUUGUCACUAUUGAUACAUUUUUAAAAUAUAUAUUUUGAAACUGCAGUGUCCUACUUGUACUUAUAGCCCAAUAACUUGCACAAAAAAAAAAAAAAAAAAAAAAAGUGUUUUUAAACUUAGGACACAAUUUUGAAUCUAUCAGUUUUUUCAUUAGCUUUUGUAGAUGAGUAAAAGAUUUUCCC
This is a non-coding RNA of Pelobates cultripes (western spadefoot toad), 2387 nucleotides long. The record is from the annotation of a GenBank genome assembly. Lineage: Eukaryota; Metazoa; Chordata; Amphibia; Anura; Pelobatidae.